Bubalus bubalis (water buffalo) is the source of this 334-nucleotide long non-coding RNA. RefSeq lists it as uncharacterized. Lineage: Eukaryota; Metazoa; Chordata; Mammalia; Artiodactyla; Bovidae. The transcript has 3 exons. The record is from RefSeq and is a predicted model, not a curated record.
UUGGUUUAUGUUUUCUAAAGUUGAUUCUUUGUGAUAGAUACACUGCAAUUGUCUUCAAGUUUCCUUAUCAUCUCAAAUAUUAUUUCAGCUGGCCCAUAUUCUGCUUGACCAUUUCCAUCUUGGGCCUGAGGCUUAUGAAGUUCUUUGCAGGCUUACAACGGUUACUGCCUCCUUGGGAAUUUCUGAGUUUGUCAUUUUCUUCUGGAGGACUAUCCUUGCUGUCAAGCCCCCAGUAUUUCAAGUUAAUUUGAAGCAGAUAGCAGAGAAAAUCAGUAAUUUUGUGAAGGACAACAGACAACUUGCAGAAAAUAUAGCCAAUAUGGAACAGAAGGUA